Molecule: ribosomal RNA, 292 nt
Filed under: uncultured bacterium
Lineage: Bacteria
Description: partial 16S ribosomal RNA
Rfam family: Bacterial small subunit ribosomal RNA
Source: RNAcentral
GUGCCAGCCGCCGCGGUAACACGUAGGGCGCAAGCGUUGUCUGGAAUUAUUGGGCGUAAAGAGCUCGUAGGUGGUUUGUUACGUCUGCUGUGAAAACCUAGGGCUUAACCCUGGGCUUGCAGUGGAUACGGGCAGACUAGAGGUAGGUAGUGGAGAAUGGAAUUCCUGGUGUAGCGGUGAAAUGCGCAGAUAUCAGGAGGAACACCGGUGGCGAAGGCGGUUCUCUGGGCCUGUGCUGACGCUGAGGAGCGAAAGCGUGGGGAGCGAACAGGAUUAGAUACCCUCGUAGUCC